AAAAAAAUUGAGGUACUAGAUGUGCUCAUCAACUUGACUGUAUUUUGUUUCACAGUGUACAUGCGUAUCAAAUCAUUACAUUGUAUACAUUAAAUAUAUAGUUAUACCAUUUUUAUUUAUCAGAAAAAUCCAUGUCACACAAACACAGAUGUACAGUAAGUACUCAAUGUUCAAAAUAGGUUCUUGAAAACUGCGUCUUUAAAUAAAACAAUGUCGGUAUAUGACAUUCAAACAUAACCUUGUUUCUAUCAAUUCAACUAUAGUAAUUCUGCCUCUGGGUUUAAGCGAUUCUCC
Molecule: long non-coding RNA, 294 nt
Filed under: Homo sapiens (human)
Lineage: Eukaryota; Metazoa; Chordata; Mammalia; Primates; Hominidae
Description: HSALNT0067718
Source: RNAcentral